CACGUAGGGGGCAAGCGUUGUCCGGAUUUAUUGGGCGUAAAGAGCUCGUAGGUGGCUGAGUAAGUCGGAUGUUAAAUCCCCAGGCUCAACCUGGGACGCCACCCGAUACUGCGGUGACUAGAGUCCGGUAGGGGAGUGCGGAAUUCCUGGUGUAGCGGUGAAAUGCGCAGAUAUCAGGAGGAACACCGGUGGCGAAGGCGGGUCUCUGGGCAGUAACUGACGGUGAGGAGCGAAAGCGUGGGGAGCGAACAGG
Molecule: ribosomal RNA, 253 nt
Filed under: uncultured bacterium
Lineage: Bacteria
Description: partial 16S ribosomal RNA
Rfam family: Bacterial small subunit ribosomal RNA
Source: RNAcentral